This is a non-coding RNA of Doryrhamphus excisus (bluestripe pipefish), 2957 nucleotides long. The record is from RefSeq and is a predicted model, not a curated record. Lineage: Eukaryota; Metazoa; Chordata; Actinopteri; Syngnathiformes; Syngnathidae.
UUGUAAGUCUUCCUUUUUAUUUGCUUUGCUUCUAUGUGCCUGAAAACUACACUACAUUUCAUACGCAGGCUGGAUUUACUUCACUACAGUUUCACCAUAACAUAACCAAAAUAAUAAAAGAUAAAUAUAAAAGAUAAAUAUACAGUGAUUUAGUUUAAAAAAAGGUAGAAUUUCAACUGAAUGACAAAAUUAAACAUUCAUUUUCUAGCGCUUAUCCUCACGAGGGUCAUGGGGGAUGCUGGAGUCUAUCCCAGCUGUCUUGGGGCGAGAGGCACGGGGUACACCCUGGACUGGUGGCCAGCCAAUCACAGGGCACAUAUAGACAAACAACCAUUCACACUCACAUUCAUACCUAUGGACAAUUUGGAGUGGCUAAUUAACCUAGCAUGUUUUUUUGUUUUUUUUACUUCUAAGAGCCAGUGGCGUCAUUAGGCCUAUUUUAAAAUGUUCUUAAAACCCCUAAAUAAUUUGAUAUUUUUUAUUGAUUUUUUAUUUUAUUUUUAAAAAAUUUUACAAAAAAAAUCUGACAAAUUUUAUAUAAUAGGGCAAAAGCAGGCUAAUAAGCAAGCCAAUAAGCAGGCUAAUACUAGCCUACUACUACUACUACUAGUAGUAGUAGUAAUAAUCAUUCAUUCAUUUUCUACUGCUUAUCCUCACGAGGGUCGCGGGGGAAAUGCUGGAGCCUAUCCCAGCUGUCUUGGGGCGAGAGGCGGGGUCCACCCUGGACUGGUGGCCAGCCAAUCCCAGGGCACAUAUAGACAAACAACCAUUCACACUCACAUUCAUACCUAUGGACAAUUUGGAGCGGCUAAUUAAACUAGCAUGUUUUUUUGUUUUUUUUUACUUCUAAGAGCCAGUGGCAUCAUUAGGCCUAUUUUAAAAUGUUCUUAAGACCCCUAAAUAAUUUUUAUAAUUUAUAAUUAUAAUAUUUUUUUUGAUUUUUUAUUUUAUUUAAAAAAAAAUUACAAAAAAAAUCUGACAAAUUUUAUAUAAUAGGGCAAAAGCAGGCUAAUAAGCAAGCCAAUAAGCAGGCUAAUACUAGCCUACUACUACUACUAGUAGUACUAAUAAUCAUUCAUUCAUUUUCUACCGCUUUUCCUCACGAGGGUCGCGGGGGAAAUGCUGGAGCCUAUCCCAGCUGUCUUGGGGCGAGAGGCGGGGUACACCCUGGACUGGUGGCCAGCCAAUCCCAGGGCACAUAUAGACAAACAACCAUUCACACUCACAUUCAUACCUAUGGACAAUUUGGAGCGGCUAAUUAACCUAGCAUGUUUUUUUUUUGGAAUGUGGGAGGAAACCGGAGUACCCGGAGAAAACCCACGCAUGCACUUGGGAGAACAUGCAAACUCCACACAGAGAUGGCCGAGGGUGGAAUCGAACCCGGGUCUCCUGAGCUGUGAGGUGUACCUAAUGUUGUGGCCGUACAAGCGUUUCUAAGCAAACCUCCUUAAAGUUUGGGUGUUUGGCAUCUUGGACCAGCUGCAGCAGGACGGCCUCGGCGGUGGUGAGGAAGGCGCCGCUCUGCUUCAGGCGGGACAGAGCGAACAAGCGGUCCGUUUGGCUGCAUUGGUGUGUAUGUGUGUGUGUGUGUGUGUGUGUGUUGAUACACAGUUAUUACUUGAAAUAGAAAACAUGGAGGCGUGCGUGCGUGCGUCUACCUCCGCGAUGACACGGCGUCAGCCACAAUGUGCACUUCCAUUCCCUUUUCCAGCAGGUCAAAGGUUGUACACUGCCGACACGGAGCAAAGGCCAAUCAGGAGGAAGCGUUAAUCAUUUACAUUCCAUGCUUCCGCAUUACCGCAAUACAAGCGUGCGCCUCAAUCCCACAUAGAAUGGCUUGUUUGGGGUUCCCCAAGGCCUGCAGCUCCUUCUCCACGUCCUCCGUCAUCAUAGUGAAUGACGUUUUAGCACGUGGGGUCAAAUCUCCAGCUCCCAGCUCCGGCACCGUGGGUCCCAGACCUUUAGGGUACUGCUCAGUUAAAAUGGCAGGGAUGCCGAGGACCCGGCUGGCCUGUCACAGCAAUCUGGCGGCAUUGCUGACAAUGUUGGUGAACUGGAAGAUAUUGGGUCGGAAUUUCUCCUGCAUGUCACACAGGAAGAGCACUGCAUCCUUGGUGGAGAGUCUUCCAAUGCCUGCCACUGGUAAAACAGGAAAUACUAGCAUGUUAGUACCAUUUAUUGCAGCUUUAGGGUCAAAUGUCAACCAGGUCAGCUGACACAAGUUGACAAAAAGCUACAUACAACUAGUCCUUUCAAUGGACCAUUUCCACAAUGCACAUGGUGGUCUAUAAAAAAAAAAGAUGUAAGCAGACGUAAACUAGCAUUGCAAGCGCAGGUGACUUACUGUUGCUGCGUUGGUUGUCACUGGGUCAAGAGUUAAAGCACCGCUACUUCAAGUACAAGCUCCACUUUUAAACUGUUCCCAUGUGACACCACCUGCGUUAAAGGAGACUACUCCAACCAAAUAACCACAAAGCGAUACACACAAACAAUUAGAUAAACAUUACUUGCAUAAAUAACAAAAACGGACUCAACAAACCUAGCAUAAAGCUAACAGGAUCAAGUUCAUGCAGUGUUUUAUAAACCACGCCUCAGAAAGGCUAAAUCUCCAAUGGGAUCAGGCAUUCAUGUGAUUGACGUUUAUCUAACCCAAUUGGACGCAAUAACACCAACCCCGGCUGAGGUGGGUGGGCGGUAACCAAAAAAAAAUGCAGUCAUCGCCUAAAAUGUCUGACAGUGCAGAGUCCCCGACCGAGGCGCAGAAGGAAGAGUUACACUCGCCGGCCGAAGACACGGCGACAAGUGAAGAGAAGAAAAAGAUUGAUGUGCUAUUAAAAGCAGUUGGGGACACCCCCAUCAUGAAAACGAAGAAAUGGGCAGUGGACCGGGGCAGGACGGUUCAAUCGCUUGCACAGUUCAUCUCCCGCUUCCUGAAGCUUGAUGCUAGUGAGCAACUG